This 446-nucleotide ribosomal RNA is filed under the name uncultured bacterium. Its description in RNAcentral is "partial 16S ribosomal RNA". It matches the Rfam family "Bacterial small subunit ribosomal RNA", at positions 330 to 792 of the family's 1533-position model. The record is from RNAcentral.
UCCAGACUCCUACGGGAGGCAGCAGUGGGGGAUAUUGCACAAUGGGGGGAACCCUGAUGCAGCGACGCCGCGUGGGUGAAGGAGCGUUUCGGCGCGUAAAGCCCUCUCGGCAGGGAAGAAGGAGGACGGUACCUGACUAAGAAGCCCCGGCUAACUACGUGCCAGCAGCCGCGGUAAUACGGAGGGGGCAAGCGUUAUCCGGAUUUACUGGGUGUAAAGGGGGCGCAGACGGCAGCGCAAGCCAGGAGUGAAAGCCCGGGGCCCAACCCCGGGACUGCUCUUGGAACUGCGCGGCUGGAGUGCAGGAGGGGCAGGCGGAAUUCCUGGUGUAGCGGUGAAAUGCGUAGAUAUCAGGAGGAACACCGGUGGCGAAGGCGGCCUGCUGGACUGCGACUGACGUUGAGGCCCGAAAGCGUGGGGAGCAAACAGGAUUAGAUACCCGUGUA